Molecule: ribosomal RNA, 407 nt
Filed under: uncultured archaeon
Lineage: Archaea
Description: bacterial SSU rRNA
Rfam family: Archaeal small subunit ribosomal RNA
Source: RNAcentral
GGAACCGGGAGAGGUAAGAGGUACUACAGGGGUAGGAAGUGAAAUCUUGUAAUCCCUGUGGGACCACCUGUGGCGAAGGCGUCUUACCGAGAACGGGUUCGACGGUGAGGGACGAAAGCUGGGGGCACGAACCGGAUUAGAUACCCGGGUAGUCCCAGCCGUAAACGAUGCUCGCUAGGUGUCAGGCAUGGCGCGACCGUGUCUGGUGCCGCAGGGAAGCCGUGAAGCGAGCCACCUGGGAAGUACGGCCGCAAGGCCUGAAACUUAAAGGAAUUGGCGGGGGAGCACAACAACGGGGUGGAGCCUGCGGUUUAAUUGGACUCAACGCCGGACAACUCACCGGGGGCGACAGCAAUAUGUAGGCCAAGCUGAAGACUUUGCCUGAAUCGCUGAGGAGUGGUGCAUGG